UACGUAGGCUGCGAGCGUUGUUCGGAAUUAUUGGGCGUAAAGAGUGCGUAGGCGGUGAUCUAAGUCUGUCGUGAAAUCUCCCGGCUUAACUGGGAGGGUGCGGCGGAAACUGGAAUGCUAGAGUGUGGGAGAGGUAAGCGGAAUUCCAGGUGUAGCGGUGAAAUGCGUAGAUAUCUGGAGGAACACCGGUGGCGAAGGCGGCAUCCUGGACCAAUACUGACACUGAGGAGCGAAAGCCAGGGGAGCAAACGGG
Molecule: ribosomal RNA, 253 nt
Filed under: uncultured bacterium
Lineage: Bacteria
Description: partial 16S ribosomal RNA
Rfam family: Bacterial small subunit ribosomal RNA
Source: RNAcentral